RNAcentral lists this ribosomal RNA (829 nucleotides) under uncultured bacterium. RNAcentral describes it as "bacterial SSU rRNA". It matches the Rfam family "Bacterial small subunit ribosomal RNA", at positions 57 to 862 of the family's 1533-position model. The record is from RNAcentral.
GCAGUCGGGCGAGAAGGGGCUUCGGCCCUGAGUACAGCGGCAGACGGGUGAGUAACGCGUGGGCAACCUACCUCGAGGUCUGGGAUAACUUGGGGAAACCCGAGCUAAUACCGGAUGAGCCCACGAGGUCUUUGGACCUCGCGGGAAAAGAUGGCCUCUGCUUGCAAGCUAUCACCACGAGAUGGGCCCGCGUCCCAUUAGCUAGUUGGCGAGGUAACGGCUCACCAAGGCGACGAUGGGUAGCUGGUCUGAGAGGACGAUCAGCCACACUGGGACUGAGACACGGCCCAGACUCCUACGGGAGGCAGCAGUCGGGAAUCUUGGGCAAUGGGCGCAAGCCUGACCCAGCGACGCCGCGUGAGGGAUGAAGGCCUUCGGGUCGUAAACCUCUGUCAGGAGGGAAGAACGGCGGCCAGGUGAAUAAUCUGGCUGUCUGACGGUACCUCCGAAGGAAGCGCCGGCUAACUCCGUGCCAGCAGCCGCGGUAAUACGGAGGGCGCAAGCGUUGUUCGGAAUCACUGGGCGUAAAGCGCGUGUAUGCGGCCGGGCAAGUCGGAUGUGAAAUCCCGAGGCUCAACCUCGGAUCUGCACUCGAAACUGCUCGGCUCGAGUCUCGGAGAGGGUGGCGGAAUUCCCGGUGUAGGGGUGAAAUCCGUAGAUAUCGGGAGGAACACCAGUGGCGAAAGCGGCCACCUGGACGAUGACUGACGCUGAAACGCUAAAGCGUGCGGAGCAAACACGAUUAGAUACCCUGGUUAGUCCACGCCGUACACGGUGAGUGCUAGACGUCGCGGGUAUUGACCCCCGCGGUGUCGCAGCUAACGCGUUA